RNAcentral lists this ribosomal RNA (251 nucleotides) under uncultured prokaryote. Its description in RNAcentral is "partial 16S ribosomal RNA". It matches the Rfam family "Bacterial small subunit ribosomal RNA", at positions 524 to 774 of the family's 1533-position model. The record is from RNAcentral.
UACGUAGGUGGCAAGCGUUAUCCGGAAUUAUUGGGCGUAAAGAGCUCGUAGGUGGUUUGUCGCGUCUGCUGUGAAAUCUGGUGGCUCAACCAUCAGCGUGCAGUGGGUACGGGCAGACUAGAGUGCGGUAGGGGAGAUUGGAAUUCCUGGUGUAGCGGUGGAAUACGCAGAUAUCAGGAGGAACACCGAUGGCGAAGGCAGAUCUCUGGGCCGUUACUGACGCUGAGGAGCGAAAGCAUGGGGAGCGAACA